AUUGCAGGGUCAGAGCAUGGGUGUGUGGUCAAGGUCAGCUAUAGUAGAUACUGUAAUACUGUUUUCCAAAGUGGUGCCAUCAUUUUACAUUUUCCCUAGCAAAGUGUGAGCGUUUUCGUCUCCCCACAUACUCAACUGUACUUGGUAAUUUGCACUUUUUAAAUUUUAGCUAUUCUGGUUGUUUUGUAAUGGCAUCUCAUUGUUUUUCAUUUGCGUUUUUUUUGAAUGAGUAAACAGGGGAGCAUCUUCAAAUGUUUAUCAGCCAUUGAAGACUUUUAUGCCAGAGCAUGGCACAACCAUAUUUGCAUUCUAAGAAAUCCUCUCCAGCUUCUGGUGUGGAAUAAAUAGGGUUUCCAAAUGUUUUAUUUGCAGAUGACUCAGAAACGAAACAAUGCAAAGACCUAGCUAAGUAUUACAUUGGUGGUGACAGAAUUCUCAGCAAUGCAGAGACCUUUAGAGACUGCUUGCCUGGCUGGCGGGAUAAAGUGUUUCAGAAGAUGUUCUAAUGACCUGCUCUUUCUAUGGCUUAUCUUCAUUCGGAUUUCGGAAAGGAUUCAAAUCCUGUGGGAAUCCAAAGGAUUAUCCAGGAUCUUAAGUGCAUUCACGCUGAGAGGGCCCUGCCCCAAAGCUGGCAAGUCUGAGAGCGCUUCCUGCAGCCUGAGGAGCAGUGAGGGAUGCGUGACAGACGAGGGAGGAGAGAGGCUGGCAGCCUGAUUCCUGGCAGAAGCUGGAACAAGCUACGGCCAUCUGCGGCCACCAUUUUCUUUCAUAUUUUUUAUUCUUUUAGGUAAGCCAAAAAUGACCAUCUCCUUUGAAGGCAUAAAGACUGAUCUUAGCUAGGGCACUCUAGCUAUCCCUACCCCUAGCUUUCAACAAGGGAAGUAUGCUCCUAAGUGACCUGAGACCUCUAUCCCAAGACCGGUAUGGCAGAUGCCAAUCAUUAUGUGGUGUCCUGUCCCCAGAAUCCAUAUUGGAAUGGAAGAUGUGGCAUGGCAGCUCUGUCUAUGAAUUCUUUCCUGGAGUCUCUCUCCUGGGGAGAGCGUCUUCUUCCCCUGACCUGGCUGUCCAGAGCACUCCAGCCUAACCGACCUCAUCAGGCUCAUGCAGGCUGGGCAAAAGAAGGACCCUUGGGAGUGUCAUUAGCUGUUCCCUGAAAUGUUCCUGAGUCAUGUGGAAUGUUCCAUGGUUUAGGUCUCACAGGAUUCCUUGGUGUCUAUUAACAGAGCAGCAGCAUUUUUAUGUCUCUGGGACACAUUUUUUCCCAGUGAGCUGGUUUCUUAUGGGCAAUUCCCAUGAUGCUAUGACAUCUAUCUCUAAUGCCGGCAAAGAUGGGCUUGUUUAUUGAAAUUGGGAAUAUUACAAUAAGCUCCCACACUUGCACUCUUGAGUUUCUCUCAGAAUUUCCUGUUUGAUCCAGAUGUUUUCCUCUAAGAAUUUUCCAAAUGUAAAGAGAGCCAAAUUUCACCUGGUGACAUUUGUUUUCUAUCUAAUCAAUAUCCUCCAGCUGAGGGCUUAAGUUGUGUUUCUUGAAACCUCAAAUUCCCAUUCAGCUUUUCACAGCCAUUGUGAGUCUAGGUAAGAGGGAAGAAAGAUGGAGAUGGGAUACCAACACGUGUGGGGAACGAUGUUCCUUCUGAGUACAAAUUCUUGAUAAUCAAGAAAUUUCAAAGCCACGAUAUGGUUUUCAGAGGUAGUUAAAGCUGGACUGGAAUGUCUGCAUGUGUGAUAUUAGGUAAGUUACUUAGACAUCGUGUAAAAUGCAAUGAAGAGUAUCUAUUUCAUAUCUAACUCAUAGUUUUUCAAGGAGUGAAGCCUCCAGCAUAAUGUCUAGCAGACACUUGGUAAAUAUUGAUUUCUUUUAUCUUUCUAUAUCUACGAUUACUUCCCUAGGGCAGAAUCUUAGAAAGGAAAUUACUGAGAAAAAGCAUGCAAAUAUUUUUUAUAGAAUCUCAAAGCUAAUUACUUUUCAAAAAUCAUACUGUGAUAAAAGCAAUGUUUGUGAGUGUCCAUCUCGCCACAUGUUUGCCAACACUGAGCAAAAAAAUCCUGUCAGCUGUUCCAUUGUUCUAUUCUCACCACUUUGAUAGCAACUGCAGUUGAAUAUUUUUUCAUAUCUUUUUAACACUCAAGAGACUUCUGGGUUACUUUGCCUUUUGUAUACUGGGACACUUUAUCUUCUAGAUACUGGGACUUACAUAAUACUUAAUCUUCCAUAAGCUCUCAUUUCAAAAUGUUGUUACCAAAACAGUCUCAUUGUGCUCAUUGUUUAACAUGAAUAUGUUAUAAAUGUGAAUAUGUAAAAUAAAUCUUCAUGAAGAAAA
Long non-coding RNA from Pteropus alecto (black flying fox), 2321 nucleotides. RefSeq lists it as uncharacterized. Lineage: Eukaryota; Metazoa; Chordata; Mammalia; Chiroptera; Pteropodidae. The transcript is spliced from 2 exons. The record is from RefSeq and is a predicted model, not a curated record.